RNAcentral lists this ribosomal RNA (253 nucleotides) under uncultured bacterium. Its description in RNAcentral is "partial 16S ribosomal RNA". It matches the Rfam family "Bacterial small subunit ribosomal RNA", at positions 524 to 776 of the family's 1533-position model. The record is from RNAcentral.
UACGGGGGGGGCAAGCGUUGUUCGGAAUUACUGGGCGUAAAGGGCUUGUAGGCGGCCAACUAAGUCCGACGUGAAAUCCCCAGGCUUAACCUGGGAACUGCGUCGGAUACUGGAUGGCUUGAAUUCGGGAGAGGGAUGCAGAAUUCCAGGUGUAGCGGUGAAAUGCGUAGAGAUCGGCAGGGACACCCAGGGGGAAACCAGCCGACUGGGCAAGUGCUGACGCUGAGGAGCGAAAGCAUGGGGAGCGAACAGG